RNAcentral lists this ribosomal RNA (831 nucleotides) under uncultured Acidobacteriota bacterium. RNAcentral describes it as "bacterial SSU rRNA". It matches the Rfam family "Bacterial small subunit ribosomal RNA", at positions 54 to 861 of the family's 1533-position model. Lineage: Bacteria; Pseudomonadati; Acidobacteriota. The record is from RNAcentral.
CAUGCAAGUCGAACGCGAAACCUUCCUUCGGGAGGGGAGUAGAGUGGCGCACGGGUGAGUAACACGUGAGUAAUUUACCUUCGGGUGGGGAAUACCAGCCGGAAACGGCUGUUAAUACCGCAUAAUGCAGCGGCAUUUAUUAUGACAGUUGUUAAAGCGGGGGAUGCGCAAGCACCUCGCGCCUGAAGAGAAGCUCGCGGCAGAUUAGGUAGUUGGUGAGGUAAUGGCUCACCAAGCCUGCGAUCUGUAGCCGGCCUGAGAGGGCGGUCGGCCACACUGACACUGACAUACGGGUCAGACUCCUACGGGAGGCAGCAGUCGGGAAUCUUGGGCAAUGGGCGAAAGCCUGACCCAGCAACGCCGCGUGAAGGAUGAAGCAUUUCGGUGUGUAAACUUCGCAAGAACAGGAAGAAUAAGUUAAGGAUAACACCCUUGACGAUGACGGUACUGUUUGUAAGCUCCGGCUAACUCCGUGCCAGCAGCCGCGGUAAUACGGGGGGAGCAAGCGUUGUUCGGAUUUACUGGGCGUAAAGGGCGCGUAGGCGGUAUGACAAGUCACUUGUGAAAUCUUCGGGCUUAACUCGAAGCGGCCAAGUGAUACUGUCGAACUAGAGUGCAGAAGGGGCAACUGGAAUUCUCGGUGUAGCGGUGAAAUGCGUAGAUAUCGAGAGGAACACCUGCGGCGAAGGCGGGUUGCUGGGCUGACACUGACGCUGAGGCGCGAAAGCUAGGGGAGCGAACGGGAUUAGAUACCCCGGUAGUCCUAGCCUUAAACGAUGAAUGCUUGGUGUCUGGAGUUAUAUAGUCUCCGGGUGCCGUCGCUAACGCUUU